This 253-nucleotide ribosomal RNA is filed under the name uncultured bacterium. Its description in RNAcentral is "partial 16S ribosomal RNA". It matches the Rfam family "Bacterial small subunit ribosomal RNA", at positions 524 to 776 of the family's 1533-position model. The record is from RNAcentral.
UACGGAGGGUGCAAGCGUUAUCCGGAUUCACUGGGUUUAAAGGGUGUGUAGGCGGGUAUUUAAGUCAGUGGUGAAAUCUCCGGGCUCAACCCGGAAACUGCCAUUGAUACUAUUUAUCUUGAAUAUCGUUGAGGUUGGCGGAAUAUAUCAUGUAGCGGUGAAAUGCAUAGAUAUGAUAUAGAACACCGAUUGCGAAGGCAGCUAACUAAGCGAUUAUUGACGCUGAGGCACGAAAGCGUGGGGAUCAAACAGG